GCCGCUAUCGUCUAAUGGUCAGGACGUCAGGUUCUCAUCCUGGAAAUCGGGGUUCGAUUCCCCGUAGCGGUACCA
RNAcentral lists this transfer RNA (75 nucleotides) under Parcubacteria group bacterium CG1_02_44_65. RNAcentral's name for it is "tRNA-Glu". It matches the Rfam family "tRNA". From Rfam's summary of the family: Transfer RNA (tRNA) molecules are approximately 80 nucleotides in length. The record is from RNAcentral.